UCGGGUAUGGUGUAACGGCUAACAUUGCCGCCUCUCAUCGGAGACUUUGAAUGGUUACGCGGCAGCUCGGGGUUCGAUUCCCCGUACCCGAA
This is a non-coding RNA of Termitomyces sp. 'cryptogamus', 92 nucleotides long. The record is from the annotation of a GenBank genome assembly. Lineage: Eukaryota; Fungi; Basidiomycota; Agaricomycetes; Agaricales; Lyophyllaceae.